GAUGAACGCUGGCGGCGUGCCUAAUACAUGCAAGUCGAGCGAACGGACGAGAAGCUUGCUUCUCUGAUGUUAGCGGCGGACGGGUGAGUAACACGUGGAUAACCUACCUAUAAGACUGGGAUAACUUCGGGAAACCGGAGCUAAUACCGGAUAAUAUUUUGAACCGCAUGGUUCAAAAGUGAAAGACGGUCUUGCUGUCACUUAUAGAUGGAUCCGCGCUGCAUUAGCUAGUUGGUAAGGUAACGGCUUACCAAGGCAACGAUGCAUAGCCGACCUGAGAGGGUGAUCGGCCACACUGGAACUGAGACACGGUCAAGACUCCUAAGGGAGGCAGCAGUAGGGAAUCUGACGCAAUGGGCGAAAGCAUGACGGAGCAAGGCCGCGUGAGUGAUGAAGGUCUUCGGAGCGUAAAACUCUGUUAUUAGGGAAGAACAGAUGUGGAAGUAAAUGUGCACAGAUUGACGGUAACUAAUCAGAAAGCCACGGCUAACUACGUG
This 497-nucleotide ribosomal RNA is filed under the name uncultured bacterium. RNAcentral describes it as "partial 16S ribosomal RNA". It matches the Rfam family "Bacterial small subunit ribosomal RNA", at positions 28 to 507 of the family's 1533-position model. The record is from RNAcentral.